This 1354-nucleotide long non-coding RNA is filed under the name Salvia miltiorrhiza (redroot sage). Its description in RNAcentral is "long non-coding RNA (SMIL_LNC007945)". The record is from RNAcentral. Lineage: Eukaryota; Viridiplantae; Streptophyta; Magnoliopsida; Lamiales; Lamiaceae.
ACGGCGGCCGUCGACGUCGUUGAAGACUUGGACAUUGGGUUGUCUGCGGUGGCCCCUCUUUGAUUUAAUUGUGACUAUUUUAACUCUUUAUUUGGAACUUCAAUUUGUCGUUGCCUUCUCUGCUCUGUCAAAAUGAAUUCAAGAGGUUAGAUUUAGGCCGGUGGGGGGUCAAACUUGCUACUACCCUGCGUUUUAUAUCCUUUUUUCCGUUUCUUUUCUUUCUUUUGAAUCUUUAUUUCCGCGCUUUAUUUCUCUAUUUUUUUUUUCCGAUUCCUUAAAGGCGCACCUUGUGCCUCUUCCUCUCCUGGCUUAACUUGUUCUAUUUUCAUGUUUCCUUGAUUUAAUUGUACAUUAAUUUGAGAAUUUAUUGCUAAUCUUGGUUAUAAGUAGGGAAUGGUGAGGGGGCAUAUUAGUCUUAAGGGGUGAAGCUGUGUUGAGUAGCUCCAAAUCGGGCACGACUUUUGGUGGUGUUUAAUAAUUAAAAAAAAAAAAAAAAGUGGAAUGCAGGGGCAUGGGGAUCAUUAGGUUUCCAUUUCCUAGUUCCGCAGCUUACAAUUUCUCUUCUCUUUUGUCCUUUUCAUGUUCUAUAAAUACUGCUCCCUCCGUCCACCAAUUAAAGCUCCAUUUGAGGAUGGGCACCCCUCCGUCCACCAAUUAAAGCCUCAUUUGAGGAUGGGCACGGAGACUAAGAAAACUAAAAAAGGUGUUGUGGGUGAAAUACAAGGGUAGUGGUUAAGAGAUUGAAUUACUUCUACUAAUCUUUGAUUAGAAAAUUCUUUUAUUUUAUGGAUUUAGUUUUAUUAAAAUUAUUUUUUUGUUAUUUUUCUUCUUUAAAUUAAAUUUCUAUUUUUUUUUUCAUUUUUUUUCUUGUUAUUUAUUUUUAUUAAUCUUUCCUUCUUAAUUUUUCGUUCAUUUUUUUCUGUCAAUUUCUUUUCCUUGUAUGUUUCAAGUAACAGUAUGAAUGAAAGAAUGGAGGCAAAAGAAAUUUGUCAUUCAUUUAAGGAGAUUCUCAUAUCCAGCCAGUCGCAUCGCCGCCUCUCAACCCGGCACUUCCGAUUCCGGCAGGAACCUGUCUGAUUUAGAGAGAUGNUCGACGAAAUCAUGGGGGCGGAUGACGGCGGCCGUCGACGUCGUUGAAGACUUGGACAUUGGGUUGUCUGCGGUGGCCCCUCUUUGAUUUAAUUGUGACUAUUUUAACUCUUUAUUUGGAACUUCAAUUUGUCGUUGCCUUCUCUGCUCUGUCAAAAUGAAUUCAAGAGGUUAGAUUUAGGCCGGUGGGGGGUCAAACUUGCUACUACCCUGCGUUUUAUAUCCUUUUUUCCGUUUCUUUUCUUUCUUUUGAAUCUUUAUUUCC